Molecule: ribosomal RNA, 248 nt
Filed under: uncultured Agathobacter sp.
Lineage: Bacteria; Bacillati; Bacillota; Clostridia; Lachnospirales; Lachnospiraceae
Description: partial 16S ribosomal RNA
Rfam family: Bacterial small subunit ribosomal RNA
Source: RNAcentral
UACGUAGGGGGCAAGCGUUAUCCGGAUUUACUGGGUGUAAAGGGAGCGUAGACGGCGUGCCAAGUCUGGAGUGAAAGCCCGGGGCUUAACCCCGGGACUGCUUUGGAAACUGGCGUGCUAGAGUGCUGGAGAGGUAAGUGGAAUUCCUAGUGUAGCGGUGAAAUGCGUAGAUAUUAGGAGGAACACCAGUGGCGAAGGCGGCUUACUGGACUGUAACUGACGUUGAGGCUCGAAAGCGUGGGGAGCAA